AACGAACGCUGGCGGCAUGCCUAACACAUGCAAGUCGAACGAACCCUUCGGGGUUAGUGGCGCACGGGUGCGUAACGCGUGGGAAUCUGCCCUUUGCUUCGGAAUAACUCAGGGAAACUUGUGCUAAUACCGGAUGAUGUCUUCGGACCAAAGAUUUAUCGGCAAGGGAUGAGCCCGCGUAGGAUUAGGUAGUUGGUGGGGUAAAGGCCUACUAAGCCGACGAUCCUUAGCUGGUCUGAGAGGAUGAUCAGCCACACUGGGACUGAGACACGGCCCAGACUCCUACGGGAGGCAGCAGUGGGGAAUAUUGGACAAUGGGCGCAAGCCUGAUCCAGCAAUGCCGCGUGAGUGAUGAAGGCCCUCGGGUCGUAAAGCUCUUUUACCAGGGAUGAUAAUGACAGUACCUGGAGAAUAAGCUCCGGCUAACUCCGUG
Molecule: ribosomal RNA, 433 nt
Filed under: uncultured bacterium
Lineage: Bacteria
Description: partial 16S ribosomal RNA
Rfam family: Bacterial small subunit ribosomal RNA
Source: RNAcentral